AACCAAGAGAUUUAGUCAUUCUUUUAUGGUAAAAAGACAGUUAGGCUGAAUUAGAGGCCAUUGGAUCUUUAAUACAGGAGUAAAAUCUAAAUAUUAAGAGUUAUCUCAAACAUGGUCUAUUUAAAAUGCUGAAUCUGUGACAACUUCAAGGGAAACUGGGAUUGGAUACCCCAUUAUUUUUAGUUGUAAAUUUAGUUCAGGCUUACCAGAGUACUACGAAUUAAAAAGUUUAAAACUCAAAGGGCUUGGCGGUGUUUUAGACCUCUCAGGGGAACCUGUCUCAUAAUCGACAAUCCGCGUUAGACCUAACCUUCUAUAGCAAGACAGCUUGUAUACCGUCGUCGUCAGGUAACUUCUUAAAAUAUAUCAGUUAGCUUGAGAAUUUUAUUAAUUGAAACGUCAGAUCAAGGUGCAGCUAACAAGAAGGUGAGGAUGGGUUACAAUUACAAAUUUGUAAUUACGGAAAGACACUUGAAACUUAUGUGCCUUAAAGGAGGACUUGAAAGUAAUUUUGUAUAUAUAAAUAGAAUGAAUAAGGCUCUGAAACGUG
Molecule: ribosomal RNA, 550 nt
Filed under: Conus diadema
Lineage: Eukaryota; Metazoa; Mollusca; Gastropoda; Neogastropoda; Conidae
Description: partial 12S ribosomal RNA
Source: RNAcentral